UACCGGGAUGGCCCAUAGUACCGGCGAGUGAACAGGCAAGAGCUCAGAUUUGAAAGCCCUUCGGGGCAUUGUAUUCUGAAGCCUGGGUCCUGGGAAAACGGUGUUUAAGUCUUCUGGAAAGGAGCGCCACGGAGGGUGAUAGCCCCGUAUAGCACUGACCCCAUCGUAGGUCCUAGGCGUGGAGUCGAGUUGUUUGGGAAUGCAGCUCAAAUGGGUGGUAUGCUCCAUCUAAAGCUAAAUAUCUGCGAGAGACCGAUAGCGAACAAGUACUGUGAAGGAAAGAUGAAAAGAACUUUGAAAAGAGAGUGAAAUAGUACGUGAAAUUGUUGAAAUGGAAGGGUAGGCCGCUAACCACGUAGAGCCGUGUUUGGGGGGAGGAUAAAGGCUGUAGAAUGUGGCUCUUCGGAGUGUUAUAGCUACAGUUAAUACUCCCAUCCGGGCGCGAGGACCUAAGGCUCUGCUAAAUGGUGGUCUACCACCCGUCUCAAACCA
This 492-nucleotide ribosomal RNA is filed under the name Starmerella riodocensis. RNAcentral describes it as "partial large subunit ribosomal RNA". It matches the Rfam family "Eukaryotic large subunit ribosomal RNA", at positions 67 to 661 of the family's 3401-position model. Lineage: Eukaryota; Fungi; Ascomycota; Dipodascomycetes; Dipodascales; Trichomonascaceae. The record is from RNAcentral.